Molecule: ribosomal RNA, 255 nt
Filed under: uncultured bacterium
Lineage: Bacteria
Description: partial 16S ribosomal RNA
Rfam family: Bacterial small subunit ribosomal RNA
Source: RNAcentral
UACGUAGGGUGCAAGCGUUGUCCGGAAUUAUUGGGCGUAAAGAGCUCGUAGGCGGUCUGUCGCGUCGGCUGUGAAAACUCGGGGCUCAACCCCGAGCCUGCAGUCGAUACGGGGCAGACUAGAGUGCUGUAGGGGAGACUGGAAUUCCUGGUGUAGCGGUGAAAUGCGCAGAUAUCAGGAGGAACACCGGUGGCGAAGGCGGGUCUCUGGGCAGUAACUGACGCUGAGGAGCGAAAGCGUGGGGGAGCAAACAGG